GGAGAAGAAGAUUGGGAAAUCUGUUUCUCAUGUAUUUACAGCCACAGUUACUAAUUGUACUGCACAAGAAGUCCAA
This is a long non-coding RNA of Coregonus clupeaformis (lake whitefish), 76 nucleotides long. RefSeq lists it as uncharacterized. The transcript is spliced from 2 exons. The record is from RefSeq and is a predicted model, not a curated record. NCBI's taxonomy places the organism in Eukaryota, Metazoa, Chordata, Actinopteri, Salmoniformes, Salmonidae.